Molecule: ribosomal RNA, 320 nt
Filed under: uncultured eukaryote
Lineage: Eukaryota
Description: partial 18S ribosomal RNA
Rfam family: Eukaryotic small subunit ribosomal RNA
Source: RNAcentral
CCCCUAGAUGUUCUGGGCCGCACGCGCGCUACACUGAACAGUUCAACAAGUCUUAACCUUGGCCGAUAGGUCUGGGUAAUCUUUGAACGCUGUUCGUGAUUGGGAUAGACCUUUGCAAUUAUGGGUCUUCAACGAGGAAUUCCUAGUAAACGCAAGUCAUCAGCUUGCAUUGAUUACGUCCCUGCCCUUUGUACACACCGCCCGUCGCACCUACCGAUUGAAUGGCCCGGUGAAAUCUCGGGACGGCGGCUUGGUCGCUUGCGUCCGACUGCUGAAACUUGAUUAAACCAUAUCAUUUAGAGGAAGGUGAAGUCGUAACA